AGAUUCCGUAAGUAGUGGCGAGCGAACGCGGAAGAGGCCAAACCGAGAGUAGUAAUACUUUCGGGGUUCGGACAGAAAACGGUAUUGUAAAGGUUUAGUGGAAUGGAAUGGGAAGUCCAACCGAAGAAGGUGAGAGUCCUGUACACGAAAAGCCUGAACAGCCAUCUGUAUCCAGAGUACCGCCGGACACGUGAAACCCGGUGGGAAUAUGGGGGGACCAUCCUCCAAGCCUAAAUACUACUCGGUGACCGAUAGUGAAGAAGUACUGUGAAGGAAAGGUGAAAAGUACCCCUGACGGGGAGUGAAAAAGAACCUGAAACCUUGUGUUUACAAGCACCGAAAGCUCAUCAAAGAGCGAUCGGGUACCUUUUGUAGAAUGGUCCGGCGAGUGAAUGUAACCGGCGAGGUUAAGCACUUAAGGUGUGAAGCCGCAGCGAGAGCAAGUCUGAAUAGGGCGUAUGAAGUCGGUUGUAUUCGACCCGAAACCGGGUGACCUACCCAUGGUCAGGUUGAAGUAAAGGUAAAACUUUAUGGAGGACCGAACCGACUCCCGUUGAAAUGGUAGCGGAUGAACUGUGGGUAGCGGAGAAAUUCCAAUCGAACCCGGAGAUAGCUGGUUCUCCCCGAAAUAGUUUUAGGACUAGCCUCAAGUUAGAUACCUGGAGGUAAAGCACUGAAUAGCCUAGCGGCCGAGAGGUUAGCGAAGCUUAUCAAACUCAGAAUGCCAGAGUAUUGAUGCUUGGGAGUCAGACAGUGUCAGAUAAAUGUCAUUGUCAAAAGGGAAACAGCCCAGAUCUACAGCUAAGGUCCCAAAGUCAGGUUAAGUGGAAAACGAUGUGAAGAUACGCAGACAACCAGGAUGUUGGCUCAGAAGCAGCCACUCAUUCAAAGAGUGCGUAAUAGCUCACUGGUCGAGCGUCUUUGCGCGGAGAAUUUAACGGGGCUAAACCUGACACCGAAGCUUAGGCAAUACAGCAAUGUAUUGGGUAGGGGAGCGUUGUAUACGCGGUGAAACAGUAGCGCAAGCGGCUGUGGAGUGUAUAGAAGUGAGAAUGCCGGAAUGAGUAGCGCGAAUGCAGUGAGAAUCUGCAUGGCCGAAAGCCUCAGGUUUUUGGAGGAAGGUUCGUCCGCUCCAAGUUAGUCGGGAGCUAAGGUGAGGCCGGAAGGCGUAGCCGAUGCACAGACGGUAGAGAUUCCGUCACCACCAAAAGAGUUAAGCACAGGGACACAUAUGAAGUCUCAGAGCCGGGUGUUGGUUCCGGUAGAGAUCGAGGGAAAUUAGUACCGAAGUCUGAGAUGGAAGAUGGCGAGAAAAGCUGUGUGUAUUUCUGAGGUGCCCGUACCGCAAACCGACACAGGUAGGUAGGAAGAAGAUUCUAAGGCCAACGGGAGAAGGGUUGUUAAGGAACUCGGCAAAUUGACCCCGUAACUUCGGGAGAAGGGGUGCUCCAGAGAUGGAGCCGCAGAGAAUCGGCCCAAGCAACUGUUUACCAAAAACACAGGUUUGUGCUAAAUCGAAAGAUGACGUAUACGAGCUGACGCCUGCCCGGUGCUGGAAGGUUAAGAGGAGAUGUGCAAGCAUUGAAUCGAAGCCCCAGUGAACGGCGGCCGUAACUAUAACGGUCCUAAGGUAGCGAAAUUCCUUGUCAGGUAAGUUCUGACCCGCAUGAAAGGCGUAAUGAUUUGGGCACUGUCUCAACAGCCCGCCCGGCGAAAUUGUAGUACCGGUGAAGAUGCCGGUUACCCGCGACAAGACGGAAAGACCCCAUGGAGCUUUACUGUAGCCUAAUAUUGGGUUUCGAUGUUGCAUGCACAGGAUAGAUGGGACACAGGGAAACAAGUGCUUUGGCAUUUGUGGAGUGGCCGUUGGGAUACCAUCCUUGCGAUAUUGGAAUUCUAACCUGCGGCUCUGAAUCGAGUCGGGGGACAUUGUUAGGUGGGCAGUUUGACUGGGGCGGUCGCCUCCUAAAGAGUAACGGAGGCGUUCAAAGGUUCGCUCAGCUUGAACGGAAAUCAAGCAAAAGAGUGCAAACGCAGAAGCGAGCCUAACUGCGAGACUGACGGGUCGAGCAGUAACGAAAGUUGGAGUUAGUGAUCCGGUGGUAUGUGAGUGGAAAUGCCAUCGCUCAACGGAUAAAAGUUACCCUGGGGAUAACAGGCUGAUCUCCCCCAAGAGUCCACAUCGACGGGGAGGUUUGGCACCUCGAUGUCGGCUCAUCGCAUCCUGGGGCUGUAUUCGGUCCCAAGGGUUUGGCUGUUCGCCAAUUAAAGCGGUACGCGAGCUGGGUUCAGAACGUCGUGAGACAGUUCGGUCCCUAUCCUCCGUGGGCGUAAGAGAAUUGAGAGGAUCUGUCCCUAGUACGAGAGGACCGGGAUGGACGGACCUCCGGUGUCGCAGUUGUUGACCAACAGCAUGGCUGCCUAGCCGCGUCCGGAUGUGAUAACCGCUGAAAGCAUCUAAGUGGGAAGCCGACCUCGAGAUGAGUUCUCUUUUUGGUAAGGCCACUUGU
Molecule: ribosomal RNA, 2510 nt
Filed under: human gut metagenome
Description: bacterial LSU rRNA
Rfam family: Bacterial large subunit ribosomal RNA
Source: RNAcentral